CCCAGACUCCUACGGGAGGCAGCAGUGAGGAAUAUUGGUCAAUGGGCGCGAGCCUGAACCAGCCAAGUCGCGUGAGGGAGGACGGCCCUACGGGUUGUAAACCUCUUUUGCCGGGGAGCAACGGGCGCCACGUGUGGCGCCACUGAGAGUACCCGGAGAAAAAGCAUCGGCUAACUCCGUGCCAGCAGCCGCGGUAAUACGGAGGUGGCAAGCGUUGUCCGGAUUUACUGGGUGUAAAGGGCGUGUAGCCGGGUUGACAAGUCAGAUGUGAAAUCCUGCGGCUUAACCGCAGAACUGCAUUUGAAACUGUUGAUCUUGAGUACUGGAGAGGCAGACGGAAUUCCUAGUGUAGCGGUGAAAUGCGUAGAUAUUAGGAGGAACACCAGUGGCGAAGGCGGACUGCUGGACAGCAACUGACGGUGAGGCGCGAAAGCGUGGGGAGCAAACAGGAUUAGAUACCCGAGUAAA
This 468-nucleotide ribosomal RNA is filed under the name uncultured bacterium. RNAcentral describes it as "bacterial SSU rRNA". It matches the Rfam family "Bacterial small subunit ribosomal RNA", at positions 330 to 794 of the family's 1533-position model. The record is from RNAcentral.